GAAACGCCCGGUCCCAUUCCGAACCCGGAAGCUAAGACCCACAGCGCCGAUGGUACUGCACCCGGGAGGGUGUGGGAGAGUAGGUCACCGCCGGAC
RNAcentral lists this ribosomal RNA (96 nucleotides) under Pseudarthrobacter phenanthrenivorans. RNAcentral also lists the same sequence under 6 other names. Lineage: Bacteria; Bacillati; Actinomycetota; Actinomycetes; Micrococcales; Micrococcaceae. The record is from RNAcentral.